GUUGAAGGGAUGCAUAGUACCCAUUGAUAGAUUUAUUAAAAUGUGAGAAAUAUGAUUUUAUUUUGCACCAAACAUUAGUCAAUAUCCUGUUAACAAUUUCAUCUAAUUUAUUUAAUUUAUUCUAACAGCCGCAACACCACACAAAAGAAAAUGUGUCUGUCGUCACGAGGGAAGAGUCUAUGUGCCAGGUAAAGAAUGCAAUACUAGAAUCAGAGGAACUUCACAAUAGCCAGGCAGAACACUGCCGUUACCUAUAGUUGAUAUGAUCAAGAACAAGCAAUUAGCUUUCUUUUCUUUCUUCUUGCAGAUCAGGAAAUAGAAAGCAGCCACAGUAGUGAAAAGGAUGGAAAAUGCUACAGUCUUGUGUGUGACAGCAACUGCGAGAAAAGAACAAGCGAGAUAACAUGUCCACCAGUUCGACAACGUACCACAACACCACAUGAAAGAAAAUGUCUCUGUCAUCAUGAUGGAAGAGUGUACAUGCCAGACCAGGAAAUAAUAAGCAGCCACAGUAGUGAAAAGGAUGGAAAAUGCUACAGUCUUGUAUGUGACAGCAACUGCGUGAAAAGAACAAGCGAGAUAACAUGUCCACCAGUUACACCACCAAGUAAGUACUUACAACUACAAGAGGCACUUUAACACUGAGGGAGACUGCAAGAUGCUAAUAGCGGGAAUAGGAAGAAAUAUUACAAAAAAGUGAUGACAUUUUCAUAUGCAUAUUAUUAUCAUGGAGCACCACUGUAUCACUGAGAAAUACAAUAAAAUGUAAGAAAAGUCACCCACACCAUAAUUCCGGAAAAGAAAAUUCCUUUUAUGGUUACACUGUUGGUGUUUGCCAUGUUUAAAAUAAAUGACAAAUAGGCAGGGAUAUGAUACAGAGAAAGGGGAUGUCUACCCAAGGACAAAAAUAAGUGCAAAGUAUCAUAGCUAUAUUUCCAGUAGAUAAUGACCAAGGGAGAAAAAAAAAGUCAAUGUUCCUUUAAUGCAAAGGGCACAGGGAGAUGGCCUUUUAUUUAAAG
Molecule: long non-coding RNA, 1019 nt
Organism: Xenopus laevis (African clawed frog)
Lineage: Eukaryota; Metazoa; Chordata; Amphibia; Anura; Pipidae
Exons: 3
Source: RefSeq, a predicted model, not a curated record